CGGAAUAAAAUUUGCUGGUGGUGAAAGGAGAGGCAAUUACUCAGUCAGCAUUUUGUCGUCGUAAUCGAUGGGGCGUUUAUGGACCUCGUGGAACUUGCAUGGAACCGUUAUUAGUUGUUUGCAAUUUACAGAUUCUAAUAUUACACGCAGUUUGAUGACAACAAAGGAGACUACCAGCAAGACGUGUGUUCUACGUUUAUUCUGGGCCUGGCACAAAAAAGUUACGUUUUACGCCAGAACUCUCCACAAUUGAAGUAGCGUCAAUAACAAUACAACCUACAGCGACUGGUGGACUAAGACUGGUCAUUCGUACAAUCAUACGGUUCGUCUUAAACUCGGUGCAUUUUUACCAUUCACGUUUAAAUAGUCGAUAAGUCCUUAGGCUGUAGCCAAGAGGAAAUCCAGGUGUCAAACGGACGAACGAUGGUUAAACAAACAGUACGGGGGCAAAGAACGAUAUAUUACCUGUAUUUACCUAAUGUAAUAAAUCUUCGGCCUGAAAUUCAUACUUUCGUGUUAAUCGGUGACCAUUCAGGAGACCUUGAAAUUGAAAUUCUUCUUGUCACGAAUUAACACAAGUAUGGUGUUUGUAUAGAGACAGAUGGAUGUAACCACAGGGUAGAGUAUGAACUUCGGUGUAUUGACUCUUUCUAGUGUUACAAUGUCAAAAGGCUAUGUGUUGACCAUCAUAAUUGAAUUAGCUUUGACCCCA
Long non-coding RNA from Daphnia carinata, 712 nucleotides. RefSeq lists it as uncharacterized. The record is from RefSeq and is a predicted model, not a curated record. Lineage: Eukaryota; Metazoa; Arthropoda; Branchiopoda; Diplostraca; Daphniidae. The transcript is spliced from 2 exons.